GAGCUGUUUGUCUUUUCCAUCUGGGCUGCAGACUGAGCUGAGAAGGUCAGGGACACAUACUACGGGCAGGACGCAUGCUGGGCUUUGGAGGCCAGUGUGUAUAGGGAGUCCAGCCAUCCUCACAGAACAAACACUCAGCACGUGUCACGCUGGGGGGCAGAACAGCGGGUGUACUAUCUGGAGGUCUCCUCCUGGAAUACUGGUUGCCUAGCAACAAGAU
Vicugna pacos (alpaca) is the source of this 220-nucleotide non-coding RNA. NCBI's taxonomy places the organism in Eukaryota, Metazoa, Chordata, Mammalia, Artiodactyla, Camelidae. The record is from Rfam.